Non-coding RNA from Meleagris gallopavo (turkey), 1619 nucleotides. The record is from RefSeq and is a predicted model, not a curated record. NCBI's taxonomy places the organism in Eukaryota, Metazoa, Chordata, Aves, Galliformes, Phasianidae.
CGGCGAGCUGCAAACUCGGCAAUAAUCAAACAGCUGACGGCGGGCCGGCCGAGCUGCCUGCUGCUGUCUUUUCACAGCGCCUGGAGGCUCAGGCCAAAAGGUGGCUGUCAUCCCCCCAGCUCUGCAUCAGCCCAGGAAGCAGCCAAGCAGCACCGUGAUGCCGGAGCCCCCAGAGCCUCCACACCCUUCAGUUACCCAAGGGCAACAUCAGUGUAAAUCUGACCUGCAGGGGAAAGCAGCCUCAUGCUCUUACUGCUGCCUCCAUCGUGCUGCUGCCACACAACCAGCAACAAACCAGAGAGCAAAACUCACACGAAUUAAAGCUGCUCGGUUAGUUUUGACCUGCGGCGGUUCCCAGGCGUGUUCACGGCUCAGUGAAUGCUGGAAGUGCUUUGGUCUACUGAUCCACUCCCUGCGGUUGCCUGAGGCUCAGAGCCAGCCUGGGGAAGCAUGAGGAGCCCACAGACUCGGGUGGGACCUUCCCAUCCCGUCCUGUACCACAGCAGUGUUCUCUCCUCCUGGUGCUCGUGACCCACCACAGGAUUGCCCAGCACCAUCCUCUGCUCAGCCCCACCUGUGAGACCUCAGUGCAGCAAUAUAGAACAGCCCUGACAGCAAGAGCAAACUACCAUGUUUAGCAUCUACACUGCACUUCAUCACUGAAGAAAAAGGGGAUCAGAGACCAGGCUGUGAGCUGAAGUCCCUCUGGGUACAGACCCGAGGCUGGUGUACCCCAGCACUGAAGCCACGUGGCAGCCAAGCAGGAUGCCUACCAACAGAGCGACAACACCAGCAGCACAGAUUUCUGUGUGCUUCUGGAAAAUAUCAGACAAAAACCUAGCAACAGUUGAGUUUUUCUCAUUUGUGAAGGCUCUUUGCACAGCAGAAGAUAUAACAGAUCUCUUCACACAAGCUGAACCAGCAAAGAAAUUUAAUGCGUGAGGCAAACACCAACCCUGGCACAGCCAGGAAAUGUCUUUUCUAGGCCCAGGCCCGCUGAAAAGUUGGCUUCAUUUAUUUAGUAGGGGAUACUGAAAACACAAACCUUUAUGGAUAUAAGAGCUGCAAGCACUGUGUGCUCUGCAGCUGCUUCCUCUGACUGAGAUCAUACUUUUGAAGGGACUCAGAAAGUCCAUCAGGCACAGCUGCAUCUCUCUCCUGUCUGCAAUCCAACAUCACAUACAUAAUAAAGUUGCAAAGAAGAGACCCGGAAGAGUUGACUGCGUUAAUAUAGCAAAAGAGCACAGAGAGAUCGUGACAACCUCUCCAAAGAGCGCAGAAACAGCAAGCUCUGCACCAAGAUGCCCCACCAAGCAGCCCACCACAAACUACAGACACCGCUAUCACACUGCUCCAGCCCCUGGCUGCUCAGCCCAGCCCCGCCCAGGGCAGAAACGUUCCAAGAAGCGCAGGUAGGCCUCCUUUUGUGCCGCAGCCACGGGGACGAAGUGCCCGCCGGGGUGCGUGACGACGACGGGCUCCACGAAGCACCGCGCCAGCUCAGCGCUGAGGUGCGCGGCGAUGACAGCGUCGGCGUCGCCCACGACGUGCAGCGAAGGCAGGGCGAUGGGCUCCCGGUAGAAGUGCUCGUGGGCCGGGGCGCGGCUGGCGAAGGCGGC